GGAAGAGGAGGGGGAAGGGGGGGUAAACGAGGAGGGGGAGGGGCGACGCGCCCCGCGGCGUCUCCUGUGGCGCCGAAACCCGGGAGCUAGCGGGUGGCCCGAGCGCGCAGCGCCGCGAAGCGGGGCGGGUGUCUGGGGGGCUUCCUGAGGGCUGCGGACUCCCCCGCCCCGAAACUGCCAAAUAAAUCCUCCCCGGGGCCCGCCCAGCCCCCCCGGCCCCCGCGGCCCCCGGGCUCCGGGAACUCGGCUCGCUCGGACUUCCGGGAGAGGGAGGCUUUUCUUCUCCAAAACCGGCCAGGCUCCUUGGGCGCGCGUUGGUUUCACGGUGGAAAGGCUACAAUUAAAAAGACAAACGGCCACGACAAUAAAAUGAGCUCAGACCCCGCGGGCUUCGCUUCCUGGAGGCUUUCUGUGGUGUCUUGGCGGAGUUUUGGGGAGUCUUGGCUGGCCGUCCCUGUGAGCGCGUCUCGAUCCGUGGCCGCGGGGGCCGCGCGCGGUCCUGCGUUUUAACGCCAGCGGACUGGGCACGGCGCGGUCCUGCGGUCUGGUGAUGGGUGCUGCCCGGGGCGGUUCACGUCGCCUCUCUCGACGACACGGAAUUUACGCACCACAUGGCAAAGAGGUGUUGGACGUCGGCGGCAGUGCAGUCCGCUCUCUGAAACAGAAGGCUCUCUCCCGGAGAGUUCACUCCGUCUCCCUUUCACGUGAGCGAGAAGGCGAGAGCAUCGUACAUUGCCCGCUGCCCAGCUAGGAUCACUGCACGAGAAAAUGAGGCGUCCGUCCCUGCCGUGAAAGACCAUCAAAUCUGAUUAUCCUGAUAGGAUAAGAAGUCAGACAUCAUGCUGUUGACAGCCAGUGCUAGCCAAAGCCAGGAGCCCUGAACUGCGUCCGAGUCUCCUAUGUGGACGGCAGGGCCCCACGUUAGGCUGCCUGCCCCUGCCACCCGCGUGGGAGAUCUGGAAGAAGCUCCUGGCUCCUGGCUUCGGCCUGGCCCAGCCCAGCCUGUUCCAGUCAUUUGGGGAAUGAACCAGUAAAUGGAAGAUCUCUCUCUCUCUCUCCCCCUCUCUCUCUCUCUCUCUCCCUCUCCCUCUCCUUCUCUGUGUAACUCUGACUUUCAAAAAUAAAUAAAUAAAUAUUUAAAAAUAUAAUAAUAAUAAUAAUAUUAAAUCUUUUUUUAAAAAGCUGGAAAUCAUUUCCAGAUAGACUUUUCUAACUUAAUAGUAAUAAUAACCAAGUAGCGAUUCAUCUCAAGGGAAAUUGCCUAGAAGGUUUUGUGAAUGUGUUUUUAUCUUCACUUUGUUGACUGCUGGCAAUGAGCACAAACAACGAGCGCCUCCCUUCUUCGAGAUGUGGACCGCUUGGAAGCAGCGGAAGUGCGUCCAGGGCUUCCUGCUGUCCUAAGAGCCAGGCUCCAGCUGCUGGUGGAGCUGCCCAGACGGGCACUCUGAGUCUCAGUGGGAUUCUGGAUGUGCCGUUGGGGACGGAAAAAACGAAGGCCGCAAAGUCCAGUGGAGAUUUUUAAAAUGCCACAGGAAAAAUCAGGUGAAAGUCCUCUUGUGUGAAAUGUCACCACUGUUUACGAGGUGCGAGGCAGCCAGUCUGCCUGGCUCAGGGACCAAAAUAAUCAUCUCUCCAUAGCACAGCGCCAGAGGUGGAGCAACACCUCGGAAGGUUGUGAGAGAAGAAGCGGAGCGUCUUUCUAGACCUGCGUGGCAAGUUCUGCCCUCUCCGGGCAUCUCUGGAAGAGAAAAUGUGGCCAUCGCAAAGCUGUUAUCUUACUGAUGCCUACAGUAAAAGACCUUUGAAUCCAAAUCUCAGGGACAGAUUUUUUGAGGCAGCUUCAGAUCCCUCACAAUGAGGAACACGGAACUUUGCUACAGGAGACUUUGGUUGUUAGCAUAAUUAUAGGCUUCUAGAAGGUUCCCUGGCUGUGUCUUUCGUCCAUUUCCAACUGUGGCGCUUUCCUUAAAAUAUUCAUAUUUCACACCUUUACGUGGUCUCUGGACGCUGCCAACUUGCACAUAUUGGGUGCCGGAAUCCUUUUCCUAAUUAUUGGCCACAUGCACAAAAUAGUUUAAUAAUACAUGGUUGCCUGUAGAACCAUCUUCUAAGUAGCACAUAUCCAGUAGCAUCCCCCACCACUCAGUGGGCAAAUGUGGUUGCAAGUCAGGCUAGGAUCCUCACAGCCAACAGGCAAGGGCUUUUGGUAGAAGAAAUUGUCUAGAACUUCAGCAAACAAAUUUAAAUGACUUUGUUGACAAGAACACCAUACAACACAAAACUCCACUAAGGCAAGACCCUGGGGAAUGAGCCUUGGAAAGUUCCAGAAAAGGUGGGGGGCUACAGGCAACUAGUUGGCCUCAUCAGUGAGCCAAGAGAAUAGGCCAGUAUUUCUGAAUAGCAUAGGACUGAAGGAAUUCAAGGGGUCCAGGGACUCACCCCCAAGUCACCUACUAGCGUUCACAGAUGCCCCUGCGUCUUUGGGAGUAUGCUUCUCCGUGUCUAUCAGCAGAGGAUGGAAAAGUUUAAAAGGGUUUUUGGCUUGGGUGGUUGGUUUUUUUAGACUCACCAAAGUAGCUAGCAGACUAUCAUGUUUGGAAAACCAAGACUUUACAAAAUACAAAUGUUUGUUUCCGUGUUAAGCUACUCUUCCCUGGAAAGCUCAGGACACCGGAAGCAUUUUACCCUUUCAUGAAUUUUUCCAACACAUUUAUUAAGCACCAUGAUGUACCAAACGAGGCACUUGAUCCUGGAGCUGCAAAUACAGAGGGGACCCAAAUCCUGCUCUUCAAGGGCCUCCAGCCUUCACCCCAUCUUGUGUCCUGCGUGUGUGGUUUCAGGCCAGUUUGCACAAGUGGACCACGCAUUCAGAACCUCAGAUUCAGCGAUUUCUUUUUUUUUUUUUUUAGCUCAUGAAUAAUCAGUUCACACUAAAGAUGCUGCUGGAUAUACAGGGGGAUUCCCACAAGUUUUCAAAUACCUUGAAGUGCCCUUGGCGGGGCAGCCAGGCGGGGCAGUGGUUGGGAUGUCUCUUGGGAUGCCUGCGUCUCAUAUUGGAUUAUCUGGGCUGGACUCAACUCUGCUCCCAAUGCCAGUGCACAACCUGGGAGGCAGAAGAUGAUGGCCAGAUACUUGGAUCCCUGCCACUCAUGCAAGAGACUGUCCCAGACUGAGUUCCAGGCUCCUGACUUUGGCCUGCACCAACCCCGGCUGUUGUGGGCAUUUAGGGAGUGAACCAACUGAUGGAAGAUCUCUCUCUGUCUCUGUCUCUGCCUCUCCUUCUGUGUGUGUGUGUCUACCUUUCAAAUAAUAAUAAAAUAGAUACAUAAUUUUUAAAUACCUUUCAAAAAAAGAAGUAAAACAAUGAACCUUUUUAUUCUAAAAUGAGGUGAUAGAACUGAGCAUUUGGGUGUCCGCAAUAGCAAAGCAGCAAAGGUGAGGUUAAGGACACAGCUGUUGGGAUCAGUUCAGUGGUCCCAGGAUCAGAAUCUGUUCUCUGUAUUGGAGACAUGAGGGACCAUUACAAGAGGCCGAGGCAGCAAGUCCAGCCACAAUGGUGUCACACGAACUCAGUGUCAUCAGAUUUGUUUUUAGAAAGGCUGAGAGACACACAGACAGAUAUCUUCAUCAACUGUUUCAUUCCCCAAAUGCCAGCAACCACCAGGGCUGAAGCAGGCCAAAGCCAGAAGCCUGGAGUUCCAUCUGGGACUCCCACAUGGGUAGUUGAGCCAUCACCUGCUGCCUCCCAGGGUACCGAUGAGCAGGAAGCUGGAAUAGAAGUGGAGCAGCUGGAACUUGAAUCCAGGCACUCUGACUGGGUGGCUUAGCCACUGCACCACAUGCUUGCUCCAAUUUGUUUCGAGGGAAAGAAAAGUCUGACAGCUGAUGAGCAUGGACAGAGCAUGGAUAAGGAGGCAGAGGUCUGGUUUGGAAAUGCAUCCCUCUGAUAUUUGCCGCGCUUCCUGGCCAGCUCCCGCCCUUGCUACUUUAGGCCCCUCCUUCUUCACUUGUAAGAUGAGGGUGUCUUACCAGCUGAUGCCUGGAGUCCCCUGUAACGCUGGCAGUCGGUGCUGAAGGUGGCCCUGGGCAGUCUGUGCUGUAAUUCUGAUAACUGAUUAGGUAUUUCAUUAACAGCCAAAGUUACUUCACUGCUAAUAUGAGAAUACUUAUGGUGAGGCUCCCAGAACUAAAAUAAAUGAGCCUUUCGCACCUCUGCUGGUGCCCUCCUUUCCAGCUCUCUCUACAGGAGAUCAGACAAACAGCAGACAAUGAAUUAAUUCACAAGCAAAGACUAUUUUUGGCAACUGGGAAAGUUAGAUCCUUCUCUGUUUAUACAUGCCUAUUCUAUACAUAAAUCUGUGUACACAUUAUAUGUGACUAUUAUAUGUGACUAUUCCCAAAUAAAAUUAAAAUAUUUAUUAUAUUUAUAUAUCAUAUAAUUAUACAUUAUAUUGUUAUAUAAUAUAUUGAUUUAUAUCAGUAUACUUCAUUUUAUAUAACUUAUGUAUUAUUAUAAAUAUAAUCAAAAAGACCUUGGAAAAUGAAUAUUGUGAAAAAAAAACUCCAUGGAUUUCAAAAUUUCUUGCAUCAAAAUAAGUUUAUCUUUCAAUUCUAUUUUUUCCAUGAAUUUUUGAAGUCUCCUUGUACACUUGUAACAUUUAUUGAAUGCAUAUGUUCCAGCACUGUUGAAGACUUUAUAUACAUUUACCCAUCACUUCUUAUUUUCAUUUAUUCUAUUUCAAAUCUUUUUUAAAGAUUUAUUUUAUUUUAUUUUACUUGAAAGAGUUACAGAGAGGCAGAGGCGCAGAGAGAGAGAGAGAGCGAGAGAUGUCUUCCAUCCAACAGCCAGAGCUGGGCUGAUCCAAAGCCAGGAGCCAGGAGUUUCUUCUUGGUCUCCCACGCAGAUGCAGGGGCCCAAGGACUUGAGCCAUCUUCCACUGCUUUCCCAGGCCAUAGCAGAGAGCGGGAUCAGAAGUGGAGAAGCUGGGACUAGAACCUGCGCCCAUAUGGGAUGCCGGCACUGCAGGUGGCUUUCUACCACUACGCCACAGCACUGGCCCCUUCUAUCUCUCUCUCUCUGUCUUUUUUUUUUUUUUUUGACAGGCAGAGUGGACAGUGAGAGAGAGAGACAGAGAGAAAGGUCUUCCUUUUGCCGUUGGUUCACCCUCCAAUAGCCGCCGCGGCCAGCGUGCUGCGGCCGGCACACCGCGCUGAUCCGAAGGCAGGAGCCAGGUGCUUAUCCUGGUCUCCCAUGUGGGUGCAGGGCCCAAGCACUUGGGCCAUCCUCCACUGUACUUCCCUGGCCACAGCAGAAAGCUGGCCUGGAAGAGGGGCAACCGGGACAGAAUCCUGCGCCCCGACCGGGACUAGAACCUGGUGUGCCAGCACCGCAAGGCAGAGGAUUAGCCUAUUGAGCCAUGGCGCCGGCCUGGCCCUUUCUAUUUCCAAUCGUAAUGCUCACAAUUGAUUUCUCAAAAUAUGGAAAUUUAUCAGGUUUAUUGAAAACAUCUUUUAAAAAGAUUUACUUAUUUAUGUAUUUGAAAGGCAGAAUUACAGAGAGAGAAGGAGAAACAGAGAGAGAAAGAGAUCCUCCAUUCACUGAUUCACUUCCUAGUGGCGUCAACGCAUUUGCUAGGGCAGCCCAAAGCCAGGGGCCCAGAGCUUCUUCCAGAUCUCCCACAUAGGUGUAGGGGCCAAGCACUUGGGCCAUCUUCUGCUGCUUUCUCAGGUGCAUUAGCAGGGAGCUGGAUUGGAAGUGGAGCAGCCAGGAUUCGAAUCAGCACCUGUAUGGGAUGGUGGUGUGACACCACAGAUGGAGGCUUAACCUGCUGUGCCACACUCCAGCCCUAUUGCAAACAUCUUGUGUCACAGGUGUAGCUGUUAUUCAGGGAGUGAGGAACCAUGAUUCAUGAAAAGGAUUCGCAAUUCAUUUGAACUUUCGGUAAAGGGUUUUCCGGAAAUGUAUGGAUUUGAUCAUCUUUAUGUCUGAGGGCAGGGUUCUGCUCCUAUUUUGGACAGAGAAGAAAAACCUUGGAGUUUUUGAAGAUUAGGAGAUAUUUCCAACUCCAAAUAAAUCAGAGGAAAAAAUCUUAAUAAGUCUCCACGAGUGUUUUCUGGCAAUGAGGGUGACAUUUAAUGUUAGUGUGAUGUUUUGAACACAUGAUCUGGGAGUGAGUUACAGAAUUAAUUUUGACAUUACUGGGCCAAUUCAGAUGUGCUUCAUUUUGUCUGGACCAGACCAAAAUCCACACUAUUCAAAUUAUUCGGGAUUACUCGGCUCCAUGGUCUUUGCCCAUAUAGAACACUCAAAGCAAUGGUGAAACACUGAGUAGCCUAAGGGAUGUGACUUAUGUUAUGAUAAUGAUUAAGCUGCAUAUUUUCCCAAAAUGUACAAAUACAUAACGUUCUGUUUUACUCAUAUGCUUACGUACGGAUAGCAGAAAUAAAAAGUGUUUACUUUAGCUACAACAAAUGCCAUUCCCUUGCUUAGUGACUUUGAUAUCCUUCAGCCAAAUCAAGCAUAUAGGUUUUACAGAAACCAGAAUCUGUAUCAAAUACAAUGAGUUUCUUGCUCCUGCCACCCAUGUGGGAGACCUGAAUUGAAUUCUGGGCUCCUAGCUUCAACUUUGUCCAGUUUUGGCCAUUGUAGAUACUUGGGUAGUGAACCAGCAGGUGUCUUUCUCUCACACACACACAAACACAAAUAAAUAAUAUUUUUUAAAAGAUUUAUUUAUUUAUUUGAAGGGAAGAAUUAGAGAGAACAAGAUCUUCCAUCCACUGGUUUACUCUGCAAAUGGCCACAAUGACCAGAGCUGGGCCAAUCUGAAGUCAGGAGCCAGGAGCUUCUUCCAGGUCUGCCACGUGGGUACAGGGGCCCAGGGACUUGGGCCAUCUUCCACUGUUUUUCCAGGCCACUAGCAGGGAGAUGGAUCAGAAGUGGGGCAGCCAGGACUCAACCUGGCACCCAUAUGGGAUGCUGGUGCUGCAGACAGCAACUUUACCCACUAUGCUACGGUGCCAGCCCCUAAUUAAUAAUUUUUUAAAAAAGAUUUACAUGCAAUGAGUUUUUCUGUCCCAGCCUCCCUUUUCUCUCUCAACCUUAUGAUGACUCCAUUCGUUUUUGUUUGUUGGUUUUAAAGCUUUAAUUAUUUAUUUUAGAGGCAGAGUUACAGAGAGGCAGAGGCAGAGAGAGAGAGAGAGAGAGAGAGAGAGAGAGAGAGGGUCUUCCAUCUGCUGGUUCACUCCCCAGAUAGCUGCAAUGGAGCUGCUCCAAUCUGAAGCCAGGAGUCAGGAUCUUCUUCUGGGUCUCCCAUGCGGGUUCAGGGGCCCAAGGACUUGGGCCAUUGUCCACUGCUUUCCAAGGCCAUACCAAAGAGCUGGAACAGAAGAGGAGCAGCCAGGACUUGAACCCAUGCCGCUAAGGGGCAUGGCAGGCAUCGGCUUUACCUGCUACGCCACAGUGCUGACCCGACUUCAUUGUUAAAUAAAACAUGGAUAAUGUCAAUUUUCCCAGUAGCACCAGUAAUAUUUGUUGCUGUUUCAUAAGUAAUUUAGGAAAGUAACCGAAGCAUAAAGAAACUAAAUUAUUUAUUACUGUAUUCUCCUCUACUAUAUCACUAUAAUCUUCAGUAUUAAUGUCUUCCUUAUAAGUGUAAGGUUGGAAAAUUGGAGUCAACUGGGUUAAGUUGAUAAAUUAAACAGUUAUGAAAUGUGUUCAGGUGAGUAGCUGAUCUUGAUUUUUAUUGCUUAAUAAUGCAUGCGUUAUCUAAAUAUUUAUCUAAGAGUGUGCUUAGGCAUUCUUAUUGAAAUUCUGCUCUAAUACUUUCCUUAAAGGAUUCUCUUUUAGGGUCAUAAGUAUUUUGAGUCAGUUCUUACGAGUCAAGCGCAAGCCUAACACUCAACAGUUCAAUGACAAGUACAGUGUGGACAAGACAGACGGAGCCAGGCCUGAGUUAGGAAAACUGGGAUCUCAAGCCAGCCUGGCUGCGGUUGGCAAUUCAGGCAAUUUAGAGAUUAGCUUGAAAGCCACAAUCUGGGGGAGCUAGAAUCCUUGGAGAACUGUGCAGUGUGGCUGUCGUCGGGAAGCGUGGGGACUGUGUAGCCAGAGGAAAUCGGAAGGCACACUGGUACGUGUGGCUCUCCAGCCAAACGUGGAAGAGUGUAGACAGAGACCACUCAGCAAACAAGUGGCAGGAAAGACACGACAGUCCUGGCCUGGUGGGGUUGCCAUCUCUGCAGGGAACCCUGCCUGAAACCUUCAGACAGCCUGGGCUCCCAUUUGCUCCUCCAGAGAAUCCUUUUUUUUUUUUUUAUUAUAAUUUAUUUAUGUACUUCCAAGGGAGGGAAAGAGGGAGAGUGUUAGGGGGAGAAAGAGAGAGGGAGAGAGAGAGAUCUCAUCUACUGGUUAACUCCAACUGGAAAUCGACAGCCAUCAAAAUGGUACUUCCAGUUGGAGAACAUGAAGUGGCUUCUGUGGUUUUAUUUUUCUUUUUUGUUUACUUUUUUAUUUUAUUAUUUUAAGAUUUAUUUAUUUUAUUUGAAAAGCAGAGUCACAGAGAGAGACACAGUAAGGGAUAAAAUCUCCAAUAGAAAGGAGUAAAAAUGUGUGAUGCCUUCACACUCCCAAAUACUGUGUGAUUUGGGGGUAGGAUUAGAAGUCAAGAGGAUUGGCGUUGUGGCAUAGAAGAUGCAGUGCCGGCACCCCAUAUGGGCAUUGGUUCUAGUCCCAGCUGCUCCUCUUCUGAUCCAGCUCUCUGCUGUGGCCUGGGAAAGCAGUGGAAGAUGGCCCCAGUGCUUGGGCCCCUGCACCUGUAUGGGAGACCAGAAGAAGCUCCUGGCUUCAAAUUGGCCUGGUUCUGGCCAUUGUGGCCAUUUGGGGAGUGAACCAGCAGAUGGAAGACCUUUCUCUUUGUCUCUCCCUCUCUCUGUCUGUAACUCUACCUCUCAAAUAAAUAAAUAAAAUUGUUUUUAAAAAAAGUCAAAUUCCAUAGUCCCAGACUGGCAAGAAAAUGUGGGAAAUGUUAACUGAUAAAUAAGUUAGUUCAAAAGAGAGCUCCUGACUACCUACUGGUUCUACCCUACUUAAAGUAACAUUCAGAAAUAAUUCUCCUUCAAAAAUGUGUCAUCUAUGCAAAGGGUUUUUUUUUUUUUUAAUUAAUAACCAGCAUCAGAGUUGGGAAAUUGCCUGUUAACUAAAUUCAGCCCAUCUCCAGUCUUGGUAACGAAAGGUUUCCUGGAAUACAGCCACACUUACUUAUUCUUGUGUUCUCCAAGGCGGCUUCUCACCAGAAUGACAGGAUUGAGUAGUUGUGUCAGAGACCUCUGGCCCACAACACUGAGAACUGACAUUGAUAAUGACCAGGUGUGCUGACCCUUGACCUACAUGAGCUAAGCAGUGAUUGGCUAGCAGCCCCCUUAACUACUUUCGCUAGUGGGCAUGUGCUAUGGCUAUAUUAUUCCCGAAAUGUCUGAGAGAUUCAGGCUUCCUUGGGCGCUCCCAUCAGGAACAGACUGAAGACCGGGAAUCCAUCUGGUGACCAAAGGAGCAGUCACCCCAGGCUACCACCUGAGUACCAGUUCCUUCCCGUUUUCCCAGGACCACCAUUUGUUUUAAAACAGAAAGUCCCAUGUUCCAGGAAAUCCCUCGAUCCUGGGCAAAUAGGUGGGUUGGUCCCUCUGAGAGGUGGUGGGGAGGGAGUGGACCGGUCUGGGGGAAGUUACUUAAUCCCUCUGAGCCUCAUUUCCUAUCUACAAAGUGGGACUGAUUGUUUCUUGAGGAUUGUCAUAAGGAUUAAAGGAGAUUAUGCACAGAAAGACUAACAUAUUCUAGGCACUUAAUGCUAGUUCCCUCCCUACCCUUCUGAUGUUUAAAUGUCUUUCUAUGGUCUCUAUUCUUUUUUCUUUCUUGUUUUCUUCCUUCCUUCCUUUUUUUUUAAGAUUUAUUUAUUUAUUUGAAAGGCAGAGUCACAGAGAGGCAGAAGCACAGAGAGAGAGAGAGAGAGAGAGAGAGGUCUUCUGUUCUCUGGUUCAUUCCCCAAAUGGCUGCAACAGCUGGAGCUGGGCCUGUCGAAAGCCAGGAGCCAGGAGCUUCUUCUUGGUCUCCCAUGGGAGUGCAGGGGUCCAAGCACUUGGGCCAUCCUCCACUGCUUUCCCAGGCACAUUAGCAGGGAGCUGGAUGGGUUGUGGAACAGCCAGAUCUCGAACCGGCACCCAUAUGCGAUGCCAGUGCUGCAGGCAGAGGGUUAGCCCACUAUACCACAGCACCGGCCCCCUUUACUCCUUUCUUGAUGUUGAUCGCUUUUGUUCAUACUUUUCUGUGCUUUUAUUAGAUGCUGCUUCUGGUUAUUUUGGGGACUAGUUUGGGUAAUUAAAAUUGUAGGUAAGCGUGCACAUAGGUUUCCAAGUGUAUCUCAGCGCAUGUAAGUUGUAAGUUACACUCUUGGGGAGGGGGUUGUGAUGCUACGGGUAAAGUUGCUGCCUAGGAUGCCAACAUCCCACACUGGAGUGCCUGGGAUCAAGUCUCGCCUCUGCUUCCGGCCCAGCUUCCCAAUAACGCACAUCCCGGGAGGCCCAGAUUGUGGCCCGCGUAGGUGGGUCUCUGGCACUCACCUGGGACACCUUGACUGAGUCCCAGGCUCCUGGCUUUGAUCUGGCCCAGCCCUGGCUCUUGUGGGCAUUUGGGGAAUGAACCAGCAGAUGAAGGAUCUCUCCCUCUCUUGUGCUCUGCCUUCCAAAGGAAUAUUUUUUAAAAACAGAUUUUUUUCAUUUAUUUGAGAGGUAGAGUUGACAAAGAGAGGGAGAGACAGAGAGAGAGGUUUUCCAUCCACUGUUCAUUGCAGCAAAUGGCUGCAAUGGCCAGAGCUGGGCUGAUCCAAAGCCAGGUGCCAGGAGCUUCUUCUGGGUCUCCCACAUUGGGUACAGGGACACAAGCAUGUGGGCCAUCUUCCACUGCUUUCCCAGGCCAUUAGCAAGGAGCUGGAUUGGAAGUGGAGAAACCAGGACUUGAACUGGCACUCAUUUGGGAUAUCCAUGCAGUAGGCAGCAGUUUUACCCACUACAACAUAGUAUUGGCCCCACUCUCCAUUUUCUAUUAAUGUCAUUUCUUUGUUCUUUCUAUAAAUAAAUACUCUAAUAAAUGAAUAACUGAUUUUGCAUUGGUGAAAAUUGACCAUAUACAUAAAAUUGACUGAUUUUUAACUUGGUAAUUGUUCUAUGUUUGGGAGGCUGGAGGCAAAGGGCUAUUAGUCAUGUUUUGCCCAUCUGCAGAUAUAUCCUAGAAAGUUUGCUCUGCCCAGCUGGUGGAAGUGGUUCAGGGUAUCCCUAGUCCAUAGUCAGAUACAGAACUUUUGGGGAAUGAGAUCAAGGUCUUCUUCUAAUCUACCAUUUCUCGCCUCUAACAGACAAUGUCAACAGGAAGUUGAUAGAGCCUGAGAGUGCUACCUCACUUGUAGUUCAUUUGAUGGCUCAGUAUGACCCAAGGCACUAAGUGGACCACUCUCUUAUUCAGUUUUUUUUUUUUUUAAGAUUUAUUUAUUUAUUUGAAAGUCAGAGUUACGCAGAGAGUGGAGAGGCUGAGAAGAGAGAGAGAGAGAGAGAAAGAGAGAGAGAGAGAGAGAGAGAGAUCUUCAUCCAAUGGUUUACUCCCCAGUUGGCCGCAACGGCCAAAGCUAGGAGCCAGGAGCUUCUUCCAGGUCUCCCAUGCUGGUGCAGGGGCCCAAGGCCUUGGGCCAUCCUCUAUUGCUUUCGCAGGCCAUAGCAGAGAGCUGGAUCAGAAGUGGAGCAGCAGGGUCUCGAACCAGCCCAAUAUGGGAUGCUGGUGCUGCAGGCCAGGGUGCCACUGCACCCACCCCUCUUAUUCAGCUUUAAAUGAAGUUAGUAACAUACACAAUAGUGUAUAAAUCAAAGAGCAACCCACACAACCUCAGAGGUCCCCAGGACAAGAUCAAAGGCAUGAGGUGGCAUCAGUGUCAUUCCGCUGACAGUAUUAUGAUUUAACAUUCAGUUUAUUAGCAAAUGUGCAGCAUAGAAUUACAUAGGGUGUACUCCUGUAGUAAUUUAUAUUCUUAAUUACACCUAAAAAUCCUAGCUGGUUCCCAACAAAUUCCUUUAGGAAAUUGCUAUAUGAGUUUGAGGAAUCAAGUUUUUACUGAACUGAUGAAAUUCCUCUAAAACUAUCAGCAUUUCAAGUUAAUAUUCAAUUUUUUAAUCACUAUACUGGAUGGAGUUAAAUAAUGUAGACUCCUAUAGUAAUGUGUCUUGUCCAAGUACCAAAAUACUCACACAGUUGUAGCUGGUUCCCUCUUUAGCCUCAGUUUACCUGAGGCUAUGGCCAUGGGAUUUUUAUGAAAUCAAACUUUUUAUUGAAUUAAUUGGUCACACCUACCAAAACUUAUAAAAUCUAUGAAAAAGGUAGACGAUUUGUUUGGCUGAUUUGAGUGGCCAAUACAGCAAAAUGAGUCAAAUUACUAGCUCAGAAUACACAUUCCUUAAUUUGAUCUCAUCUAUGAACAUCUAUUUUGUUUUUUUGGUUGGGACUCCACCCAAAAACAUCAGCUUGCACACUUGGCUUUACACUGGGAUCACCUGGAGAGUUUUGACACUGCCCAAGCCCAGGCCACCCCAGGUGGAUUCAAUCAGAAUCCUGGAGGCGAGGGUGGCGGUGAUAAUGAGACUCAGGUAUUAUUAGUACCUUAGGUGACACAGCCAGGCUUGGGAACUGCUGACCUCAAGUUCAAAUACAUAGGUGGUAAUGAAGCCACUAUACCAUGUUUUGCAUUAAGGUGGAAGCCUAAUGGAGAAAUAAAUAAGAAUGAGACUUGGGAAUCAUAUUGCUAAUUACCCUAAGCUCAUAAUUAAUUUAUUUUAUAGCAGUACUUGCAGAAAUAAAUUUAUGUAUUUAUUUGAAAAGCAGAGAGGUAUACAGAGAAAGAAUAGACAUAGAUCUUUCAUCUACUGGGCCAUUCCCCAAAGGCUGACAACAGGCAUGAUUGGGCCAGGCAAAAGCCAGGAGCCAGAAACUAUCCAGGUCUCCCAUGUGGGUGACAGGGUUCUGACUACUGGAGCCAUCACCUGCUGCCUCCCGGUGCACAUUAGCAGGAAGCUGGAGUGGGAAGCAGAGCCAGGACUCAAACCCAGGCACUCCAAUAUGGGACGCAGGAGUGCCAAGUGGCAUCAACUGCUGUGCCAAAUGCCCCUAAUAAUUUUUAUUGUUAUUGUUAUUUAAAAAGCAACAGCUUUUUAUUGAGCUCUUACCAAGUAUCAUGGGCAAUGCCAGGUGUUAUCCUUGGAUUCCUUCAUUAAAUUCCUCUCACUCAGCAGUGAAGUCUUAGGAAACCAGUGAAAUGAUUGAGUCCAUUGCACACAUGGGGAAGUUGAGGCCUUGCCCAAGAACACCCAGGCAGCAAGGGGUCAAUGGGAGUCACCAGGACAAUGAGGUCACUCCCAACACCUGUGCUCCGGGGCUUUUGUAAAAUCAGGGACUGGAAAGUCACUGCUCUCCUAGGUCUUUGGACUUCUUAUCUUAUCUCUUGGGGCUUUGGUUUAUUUCAUUUUCUUUGUUUCUGGAUGUCAAGGCCUUUCCAAACAGCACGUGAAAGCAAUUUCUGACACCCGUGGGAGAGGGCUGGCCCCGUUUAUGGAUACAAUAGGCAGAGGAGUUAAUAUUGCAUAUUAAGAUCUCCCUCUCCCUCAGGGGGCUUCCUGGCAGACUUAAAACAUUUUUAGGCAGCAGAAAGGAAACCCGAAACAAAACAACCACCUGGAGGAAACACGCAGAUUUGCUGAAGCAUGUUGAAAAUUUAAUUGAAAGAGAGUAAGAAUAUAACUGUUCUUCGUACUCCCGGUGAAUCUUGUUUGCCAUUUCAUAAGCUCGUCAGGGUUGUCCUACCAACCUGUAUGGGUUUGCUUUAAAAAGCUUUUUUUUUUUUUUAAUGUAUUUAUGCUGAAGUAGGCCCCUUAAGAAACAUGUGUUACUGAACAUCAGCUGAAUUCUUAACAUGCACUUUUGUUUU
Oryctolagus cuniculus (rabbit) is the source of this 14009-nucleotide long non-coding RNA. RefSeq lists it as uncharacterized. NCBI's taxonomy places the organism in Eukaryota, Metazoa, Chordata, Mammalia, Lagomorpha, Leporidae. The record is from RefSeq and is a predicted model, not a curated record.